Amborella trichopoda is the source of this 649-nucleotide long non-coding RNA. RefSeq lists it as uncharacterized. Lineage: Eukaryota; Viridiplantae; Streptophyta; Magnoliopsida; Amborellales; Amborellaceae. The record is from RefSeq and is a predicted model, not a curated record.
UCAAAGCUCCUCUUCUUAGAGACUUAGACCUUUGCUAGUGCACUAAGGAAACUCAAGUUUUCCAUGGUCAUAUCAUCAAAGAUGGUCUCAUGAUGUAUCCUCUAGCAUUUACCAAAAAAAAUCAAAACAAACGGGUACAGUAGCUGCUGAGUCAAGUUAAACUUUAGAGGGUCACAUUCCUGAUCUACCUGCAAUGACUAUUAGAACUCAAGCAAUUGAUGUAAAACCAUAAGCUAUUGGUAUUGCUUUUUCAUCAAUCAAUCUUCAAUGGAACAACUUCAAUGUUACUCUCAGAAUCUCGAUUUUCUAGAAGGUCAGCAUCUGCUUUUUCAGAGCGAUAGCCACGGGUGGAGGACAUGCGGUUUAAUGAUCGCGGCUGGUGGUUGGAGCUCCGUGCUUUAUGGAAGUUCUUAUUUUCAAGGAAGUUCUUAUUUUCAAUUAGCAAUAGCCGCAGAUGGAGGACGGGCGGUUUGGUGAUCGCGACUGGCUGUUGGAGCUCCGUGUUUUUGUGGAAGUUCUUAUUUUCAAUUAUAUGUUUUGGAUGGCAGUAGCUACAUAGUUCUUGUCUAUUUUGAAGUAUUGUAAAUGUUAUUGGGCCUUUGAAGCCUUGGACAUAUUUGUAAUACCUUUGGAUCUCUUUUUCUAUAUA